UUAUCCGGGCUUGGGACCGGCAAAAAGAGUAUCCAACAAAUCCAAAUUUUAAAAACAAAUUAAGCAUGUCUGUCAUAUAACCAUAGUGAGGAGUAUUGUCAGAUGACACAUGUACAAUAAGUUGACAAUUUAAAACCUCAUAAAAUGUAAAAUAAGAGGAAAAUAAGGAAAUAUAGUAAUGUACAUAGGAUAAUUAAAUUUACUAUAUAAUUAUUGAGUAAUAUGUUUUUUUAAAAGAAGAACAUACAUAUAUGUGAGUAUUUUAAGUAGAUAAUAUGGUAAUUUAAAAUAGAAGACAACAAAAUAUUAUUUAUAUAUCCUCAUAAAACAUUAUUUUAAGUAGAUAAGUAAAUAAAAAAUACACAACUCAGUGGUGGGUGGUUGAAAACCAAUCAAUUACUCUAUGUAAUCCACCACCCCACGUUUCUCACAUAAUCCAAGGUGGAGUCCAUCCUAUUACUACCUUUGACCCCUUGGAAAGUGGAAACCCUUCAUUUUAAAUUUAUUUCGUUUCUUCUUCUUCCUACAGAACUCAAACUUUUUUUUCUUCUUCUCCAUUGCAUAACCAGGCUGAAAUCCAGAAGGCUUAAAACCAAUCAAUUGCUUUCUCUCUCUCUCUUCGCGCUUUCUCUUCCCUCGUCCGCGCACAUACGGCAAGCUGCAGAAAUUCUGCAUAAGGCUCCGCUGAUAUGAUAAAAAUUGAGAGUUGCAGAUCCGAUGAAGAGCU
This 727-nucleotide long non-coding RNA is filed under the name Malus domestica (apple). RNAcentral's name for it is "long non-coding RNA (MDOM_LNC015784)". Lineage: Eukaryota; Viridiplantae; Streptophyta; Magnoliopsida; Rosales; Rosaceae. The record is from RNAcentral.